CUACAUCCUGAAUAUUCACGUUUUCUCACCUACAGAUAUUUGUCUUCCCCAAAACCAAAAGAAAAAAACUACCCUUUACUCUCUUUUCUACUCAGUUACUCUUUUGUGCUAUGUUAGAAACUUGAAAUAUAUUGGUGAUGUGGGGAUUUUGUCCCCGACUGCCCACUGUACAGGACAAGAGAGCACAGUGUUUCAGUUGGAAUUCAGGACUCCUGGUUUUGAGGUAGAGGAUGAUCACUGCAGUACUUGGUUUGGAAUUGCCACAGGGGUAGCUAAACCAAAGGAGGGUUAUAUCUGCAAGGGAGGUGUAAGAAGGCAAAAUAAGGAAAAGGAGGAAUGGGUUUUCUAUUUGUUCAGUUUCAUCAACUAAUUUAUACACCUAAUACAACGUCAGUGUCAAUUGCUAUUAAGAAAUUUUUAGUUGGGCUGAGCUGGUUCUCUUGUGAAAUUGUGCUGGUUAUCUUUAAGCUUAUCAGUUAUUUGUCCAAUUAAACACUUUUCACCAGUAUUUAGUCCAAGUUGUACAGACGAUGUAUUUGGAUUUUGUCAUGGUUCAUCUACAGACUCAAAACAUAAUCAUUUUAAAGUACCUUGGGAGUGUGUAGAGUAACUUCUAUAAUAGCUUUAUGAUCCUGAUGAUGAUUUUUAAACACAAUAAAGUUGGAUCUUCCAUGUUACAAUCACAGAAUUAAAACCAGUAUUUAAAGUGGAAAAGUAUUAAAAUAUUAUGGACAAAUAUGCUGGCUUGAUUUGUUUUCCUUAACCCUGAGAUAUUGCCCUACUCUGAGUAGUUAAGAGCUUGAAAUUCAGUGUUCUUCCCGUAACCCAGUUAGGGAUCAAGAAAACUACUGAGUUGCAGCCUAAAUUUUUUUUUUUUUUUUCUUUUUUUUGGAGACAGAGUCUUGCUCUGUCACCCAGGCUGGAGUGCAGUGGCGGUAUCUUGGCUCACUGCAACCUCCAUCUUCCAGGUUCAAGCAAUUCUUGUGCCUCAGCCUCCUGAGUGGCUGGGAUUACAGGCGUGAGGCACUAUGCCCGGCUAAUUUUUAUAUUUUUAGUAGAGACAGGGUUUCGCCAUGUUGGCCAGGUUGGUCUCAAACUCCUGACCUCAGAUGAUCCACCCACCUGGGCCUCCCAGAGUGCUGGGAUUACAGGCCUGAGCCAUCGCGCCCAGCUCAAUUUUUUUUUUUAACAAAAUACAACAGGAUGGAAUAUAUCAAGUACAUGACAUGUAAUAAAUAUUUUGUGUAUCUUUUGUCAUAUGUAUUAUACAUAUGUGUGUAGUGGGUUACAGUUUACAAUUAAUUUCUUACUAUGGAUCACAUCCAGAAGUUUUAAAAGAUGGGUAGAGAAGCCAUACUCACUUGGGUGUUUCAGAAAUGGAAGCACAGUGCUGGUGAAUGAUACACACUUAUUUUGUAAUUGAGCUGUAUGCACUUAACCAUAAAUAAAUAAUCUCAUUUAUUUAAAUCUCAUUUAAUCUCAGCUCCACUUGUUGCACUCAGUCAGUGGAUUCGUAUUGAAAGGCACUGAGCAUAUUUCUUUCCUAGUGUUCAAAGAUACAUGCUAUCCAAACAAUGUGAUCUGUAAACAAAAGCCAACUACUUAAUCUGGUGGGAUGCUGGAGGGAAAAUCUGACUUGUGUUGAAUUUGUUGACAGAGAAAUAUUAUGUGGUCCUCAUUCCUAGAGGGAUUUUCUAGGGCAGUUUUAACUGUGCAGUUUUUCUUUAGACUUGACUUUGGCAUAUAACCUGCAAAUAAGGUGUAGUUCUAACUAGCAAUUUCAAAUGGGGUUGCUUUUAUAGGAUCUUCCAGAUUUUCUUGCCAUUACUUGAAUUUGGUUACAACAGAGUUCAUACUAUCAUUUAUAUUGUCUACCUUUUAAGACACAUUUUCUGUGAACCUUCCACAUCUGUAUACUUUGAAUAGCCUUGCACAAAUAUCAUAAGUGAAGCUACUUUAUUGGGCCUCUUCAUUCUCUCUUUCUAUAGAAUUCUGUGAGGUUAGUACUAGAACAAAUCUUUAAGAUCUCUGAAGUUAUUAGAAGAUGCCAAACCAGGAUUUUCCUGUCACCCAGGCUCUGUGGUUUAUGAGGUGGUGGCUAUCUCCACCGUGUCUGUACCAGGCACUAUGCUUUUUCUGACUCCUCCCCACUCAACAGUCCUGUGAGGUGGUAGCGGUGAUUGGUGGUACCACCCCUGUUUUACAGAUAAGGGAACAGGUUGGGGUUCCAAACCUACUGAUUCCCUGACUCAAGUUUGUUUUUUUCCCAUUAGACUCUACUUUGUAAUGCCUGUGUGUAAUAUCUAGAAUAUAGUGUUUGAUGGACUAGAAAGAGCCAACAUGCUUAAAGACUAGCAAUUUUGGUGUAUAGGUCUUAGUCCCACACUUCAGUAUUGGCUUCACAAAAUUCCAACACAUGGUUCCUUAACAAUGGUUCGAUUUAUGAUUGUUCGACUUUAUGCAAAGCACUACAAAUACAGUACACUCCAGCUUACCAUGGGGCUGCGUUCCGAUAAACCAGUCAUAUAUGGAAAAUACCGUAAGUCAAAAGUACAUUUUCAGCCAGGGGCAGCAGCUCACACCUGUAAUCCCAGCACUUUGGAAGACCGAGGCGGGUGGAUCGCCUGAGGUCAGGAGUUGAAGACCAGCCUGUCUAACAUGGUGAAACCCCUUGUCUCUACUAAAAAUAAAAAAGUUAGCUGGGUGUGGUGGCACACACCUGUAAUCCCCAGCUACUCAGGAGGCUGAGUCAGGAGAAUUGCUUGAUCUCGGGAGGUGGAAGUUGCAGUGAGCUGAGAUUGCACCACUGCACUCCAGCCUGGGUGACACAGCAAGACUGUCCCAAAAAAAAAAAAAAGGUUUUCAACUUAGUUAUUUUCAACUUGCAGUGGGCUUAUCAGCACAUAGCCACAUCAUAAGUCGAGAUGCUUCUGUCGAAAGUACGUUAUUGUUUUAUUUUCAACUUAGACAGUGGGGCUUAUCAGUAUGUAGCCCCAUCAUAAGUCAAGGGGCUUUUGUAACAAUGUGUCUUAUAAAAUCCCACCAGAUACAGAAAGGAGGUCAGUAAAGAUGAAACUCGAUCACAAUUAGGUGCUUAAACUUUCUUCCUGUCCUCCAGCUCAGAGGAUGAAACAGGAAACUGAGUCAUAAAACACUACUACAAACAAGCCCAAGGAUUUUAUCCCAGAUUUUCAACCCAAGGAUGAGCUGCAAUAUAACUAUCACUGUUUUGGCUGCCUGCCACAGAAUGACCACUGAGGAAAUAAAGCAAGCUUUGGAUUCACUGC
This 3287-nucleotide small RNA is filed under the name Pongo abelii (Sumatran orangutan). Its description in RNAcentral is "retained intron". Lineage: Eukaryota; Metazoa; Chordata; Mammalia; Primates; Hominidae. The record is from RNAcentral.